Molecule: long non-coding RNA, 3184 nt
Organism: Topomyia yanbarensis
Lineage: Eukaryota; Metazoa; Arthropoda; Insecta; Diptera; Culicidae
Exons: 8
Source: RefSeq, a predicted model, not a curated record
GGUAAUUUUUUCAACAUGGCGAUUACCCAUGGAAUGAGUACUUUAGUCGGAACCUACUUUUGGGUAAUUGAAAAACAAUGUUUAUAAUCCAGUUGUCAACACGUCUUCUUUUCUAAACUACUCGAUGAAACACUGCAGAAUAAUCAAAGCAUUUUCAUUCGCCGUUAACGAUUCGGUGCGGAUGAAUAUUCGAGCAAUAUCCCCAAGUCCAAGCAGGAGAAAAGCGACAAUUACAUGUAAAGGAUCUAGCGAGAAUCCAGUACCAUUAUAGAUUUCCAAUGGCGGAUACUAGUUCUUUGGGUCGGUUUGGAACUCCUCCUACGUUUCGACGAAAAAUAUAGGCUUCCGUAGAGUUUUUCUUAACAUUUCGAGAGCGGAAAACUUGCUCUACCGCAACCUGCAUCCAUUUGAGUGGUCAGGAGUUUUGUUCUUUUUUGUACGUGUUCCCCGCAGCAAUAAUAAUAACCAGCGAGCGUAUUAGCCUAAAAUACGCUCUUCCAGCCGACGGAUUUUUGCUGUACACGUUGUGGACUAUGUAACAAACGAUUGCCGUAUGGUGUAUGGACACAUAAGGGGAGGCUUGGGUAGCUUUCCUAUACCAUAAAGUACAUUACUAGACAUCUAACUGUAAGGAAUAAUAAGUUACACUCAAUCAGUCGGAGACGGUGGCAAUUAGUUUAUUGAAAUCAGCAUACUAUGGUUUUGCGAAACGGAUUUCUAUGAUUGUAGAUGAGAAUCUAGAUGCAGCGACAGUGAGCAAAUUCUAAACGUGAACGCUAUGCAUGAAAUUUUGGAAUAGAUGUGCUUACCUCACGAAUAUGGACCGCCGUAAGGGGUUUCGGUAUUCAUUCGAGGCCACACAUUCGCUACUCUUGUAUCUUCAGUAGUACAAGUAGUACGUUGAGAGAACUACAGGUUUGCGGUUUGGAGUGCGGUGUAGAGGUGACGAUUGCUAACCCAGGGUGGCUGAUUCCUCGAACAGUGAUUUAUCAAAUUGCGUCGGUGCUUGUGGCCAUGAAGUGGAUCUGAUAUACGGAUUUACUGAAUCGGCAGAUGUUAAUAUAGUUGGCGUUAAAUGUAAUAGAUCUUCUGAACCUUCUAAGACACAAAUAUGGCGUGAUUCUGAUUCUUGGCGAUGAAUCUCAGUUGGAGUGAGACUUCUGACAUGACAUGACUUAGUUGGUUACGAAAGACAUCACAGUAAGAAAAUUACUUGUCUAGGAUGUGAGAAACGUGUUCAAUUUCGAUUGAUUCUUCGGAGGAUUAUAUUAACGAAGUCGGAAGCAUCGGACGGUGUAUUUCAUUUGGAAAUGGACGUCAGGUUCGAGAAUUGCUUUCGAUGUUUAAAUAAAUCGAGAACGGAAUUUAUCAUGACUAAGCGGACAUGCACAUCAUAGAUGAGACCGCCAAUCCAAACGUUUUGAACACAACAGGAGAAGACAAAAUGUAUUGUUCAGUGUCAACAGCAGCAUGAACGAAGAGCAAGUAAAGGCAAAGGUUUUACAAUCAGUGCAAUACAGUCUCGCUAGGUAGACAUAUUUGGCUUGUUCUCUAUAAUACCAAAUAAUCUGCACUGUGUUAUCCAGAAACAUCAUCAGUCCUACGACAAAAGUGGUAGUCAAUGGUAUUCCAAGUCCCAGUUUCCCCCAAUUUCAAAAGAUUAGCCCUAAAUUGUUCGAGGCAACAAAAUUUGCUAAUUGCACAAUAUAGUAAAAAUCCAAAGGAGAUAUUGGAACAAGUGACUAUCAAGUACGAACCGCCCCAAUGUGAUUCUGAUAACGCUUUGGAACAGGUGAUCCCAUCGAAAGAUUGUUGUAACGUUAGUACACCGAUAUAUGAAGCUGAGCCCUUGCCUUCUUUAGAAGGGCUUUCAUUUGAUGAAAUGAUUGAUGUGCUAGACAAAAUCCCUCCUCGGAGCGAAAGAGUAAACGCCAUUCCUCACGAAGAAUGUUGGGACUGUGGUCAACAAUUUCCAAAUCGAAGCCGCAAGAAAGAACAUCGUAAAACCUGCUCUGCCAUUGGUACAACCGAAUUUCUGCGAAACAAAAACUAUAAGUGCGAAAUCUGCAAGAAGAUGAUCAAAACUCGUGCCGGUUAUCGGGUGCAUCUACUUAAAAUUCACAGAGACCAGAACACUGAUAAUUACCUGAAUGAGCACUGGGUACAAUUCGACGACAUUCAAACGAUUAGUACUUACAACUUCAAGAAGAGGACGAAUUACUGAUAGCAGCAAAGUGUACAACAAACCCAGGAUAAAAUCGAUUGCUUUGCAGAUUUGCUAUAUUCUACAGAAUAUGUGCAUAGCCACCUCCACUACAACCACCAAUGAUUUAUAGCAUAACGCAAAAACUUUUUUGGUCACUGUUCAAGCUGUAGAACGAAAAACAUGGGAACGAACCAUUUGUCACAGAUAGCUAACGGUUUGAAAAAUUCACACCAGACGCAGGUAUUAAGUCCGUACCCACUCGAAAAAAUAGUUUACCUUUCACCGAUUCAGUAAAUUUACACCGACUAGGUCAAUCACAACGAUCUCAAGCAUAGGUACCUGUAAAAUUCUACCUUCUCAGCUAAUGUGUUUUCAAUCACGAGGAAUGUGGGUCCGUGCAAAAUGAUGCUUGAGUUGAAGCGCAACUGUCGACUAUAUCAAUGCAUUUCUGGAAUCCUCUGGUCGACAGCAUGAAGAUUUUCCAUCCAAGGGCUAAGAUUGAAACAAUUCUGAUGCCUGUGGAAAGCUGCUGAACUUUACAUUUUCAACAGGUACAGCUACUGAAUAUGCAUUUUAUGUUAAAAUUAAAUUUUAGUGCUUUCUAUCGAUCAAUAAAAUUUUUAAAUUGAAGUUCUCUAAUAGAAUGAACAUAACGAAUAGAGUACUAAAUAGUUGAGUGUCAUUUUUUAUCUUAUGCAACUUAUAUUUGUUAAAGGUUUGUACCAAAAAAACUUUACUUUAUUCACUCUUCUAAUUGCGUAUGCUACCAAUGAACUAAGAACAGAAAGAACACGAACAAAAAAUACUUGUCAACACGGAAUUCCGUUGUCCACCGAUGCACUCUGAGACAUUGAUUGAGGAAUAGCGGUAAUCCCGUAACUACCUUGGAGAAAGCUUCAGUAAGCAGUAAACAUACGAUCAGUCCUUGUAGGGUAGCAUUAAUAUAAUAUUAAGUUUAAUAAACCAGAGUUAUCCCAA